Molecule: ribosomal RNA, 305 nt
Filed under: uncultured bacterium
Lineage: Bacteria
Description: bacterial SSU rRNA
Rfam family: Bacterial small subunit ribosomal RNA
Source: RNAcentral
UCCUACGGGAGGCAGCAGUAGGGAAUAUUGCUCAAUGGGGGAAACCCUGAAGCAGCGAUGCCGCGUGAGUGAAGAAGUAUCUCGGUACGUAAAGCUCUAUCAGCAGGGAAGAAAAUGACGGUACCUGACUAAGAAGCCCCGGCUAACUACGUGCCAGCAGCCGCGGUAAUACGUAGGGGGCGAGCGUUAUCCGGAUUUACUGGGUGUAAAGGGGGCGCAGACGGCCAUGGCAAGCCCGGUGUGAAAGGUGCGGGCACAACCCGCAGACUGCACUGGUAACUGCCUGGCUGGAGUGCCGGAGGGGG